CAGACCUGACAUCGGAGUCCGACCCUCUGUGUCCGCGAUGGUCCGAGAGCCCACAAUUGGAACCAGAGGAAGAAAAUGCCUCCUUCAAGUGGAGAACACUCUCUUCAGCCUACUUUCCAUCCCAUUUUCACAGUGACAGAUGGAUACUGAAUUGGCUGUCUGACUAAACACAUAAAAAUAAGAAAAAAUACCAAAUUUUUAAAUAACCAAGAUCUGAUUCAGGAGACUUGCUUGAAUUGCUUACACAGACACAAUGUUCAGAUUCACAAAACUACUUGCACAAAGUGAGGACCAAGUAAGCUCCUUGGAAUGCAAGAAGGAACCUGUCAAAC
Talpa occidentalis (Iberian mole) is the source of this 332-nucleotide long non-coding RNA. RefSeq lists it as uncharacterized. The transcript is spliced from 3 exons. Lineage: Eukaryota; Metazoa; Chordata; Mammalia; Eulipotyphla; Talpidae. The record is from RefSeq and is a predicted model, not a curated record.